GAUGAAGAACGUAGUGAAAUGCGAUAAGUAAUGUGAAUUGCAGAAUUCAGUGAAUCAUCGAAUCUUUGAACGCAUCUUGCGCUCCUUGGUAUUCCUUGGAGCAUGCCUGUUUGAGUAUCAUGAGCAAACCUCAAAGUCAAUUCCUUUUGUUAAUUCAAUUGGUUUUGCUUUGGACUUGGAGGUCUUGCAGAUUUCACAGUCUGCUCCUCUUAAAUGCAUUAGCUGGAUCUCAGUACUUAUGCUUGGUUCCACUCGGCGUGAUAAGUAUCACUCGCUGAGGACACUGUUAAAAAGGUGGCCAGGAAAAUACUGAUUGAACCGCUUCUAACGGUCUAUUAAGUUAGACAAUUACCCUUAAGUUUGAUCUCAAAUCAGGUAGGACUACCCGCUGAACUUAAGCAUAUCAAUAAGCGGAGGA
Molecule: unclassified non-coding RNA, 418 nt
Filed under: soil metagenome
Description: partial contains 5.8S ribosomal RNA, internal transcribed spacer 2, and large subunit ribosomal RNA
Rfam family: 5.8S ribosomal RNA (bases 1-120)
Source: RNAcentral